Long non-coding RNA from Camelus dromedarius (Arabian camel), 5466 nucleotides. RefSeq lists it as uncharacterized. The record is from RefSeq and is a predicted model, not a curated record. The transcript is spliced from 2 exons. NCBI's taxonomy places the organism in Eukaryota, Metazoa, Chordata, Mammalia, Artiodactyla, Camelidae.
GAGGUAUUUUUCCACCUCUGUGCACAGUAGUACUGUUCACAGCAGCCAGAAGGUGGAAGCAGCCCAGGUGUCCAGCAACAGAUGAUGGAUAAACUAAAUGUAGUCUCUCCAGGCAGCGGAAUACUGUUCAGCCUGUAAAAGGAAGGAAGCUCUGCCACUUGCUGCAACACGGAUGAACCUUGAGGACGCCACGCUCAGUAAAGAUGAAAAGAUCCCAGGUGAAAAUGGCGUGUGAAAAGUCAAAAGCUGAGGUGCACCUGGAGCCAGACUUCCUCCUGCCCUGGAGGAAAAGAACCUGAUUUUUAAAGUCCCAGUUUCUCAGGAUGCUGGCCCUUUGGCUUCCAAGCUCAGCCCACUUUUGCUGAAAGACACACCCAGUUCUGGGGCAGGCAGGCAUCUCAUCCCACCUCAGGGGUCAGAAACUGGCGUUUGAGAACAACAGAACACUUCCCAACAGCUCCUGGCCACGCUUUUGAGUUUUGGGGGAUGACUGAUACCCUUGCGUGGGCGUGUCCCUGAGCCGACCUGAGCACAAUCAGAGUGCGACUAAUCAGUGCAGAAGAAAUACAGAUGGAUCCAGUUCCUGUUUGCAUGGACACCACACUCAGAGUGAGAACAAAAACAGGACGUGAGUUCUAAUUUAAAAAUACAUAUAUAUGUCAUUGAGAAUACUUUUAGCAGUGGCCUGGAUGUUAGGAGAACUGGGUUUUACUUCUUACUCUGCCCGCCAAGUGGUCAUGUGACCUUUUGAGAAGCCACUUGCCUUGCUCAGUUUCCAGAUCUGUGAAAUGGGCUUGGUUUCACUUACCUGCUCUGAAAUAACAGAAAAUGUAUAUACUGACGUCUGCCCUCAGUUCCUGGCGCAGAGCUCCCCAAACCCUUUCAGUUUCCUAAGUGAUAGAAGAAGGAGGAGCAUCUUUUGUUCUAGUGUUUGGCUCCUGACCCCAGUUCCUCACAGAGCUCUCAAAUCCCUUGGAAUUUCCUGGGUGCUAGGAGUGUGUUUUGGUCUAAAGACCUGAUGCUUGGGGGACUCCUGCAUGGGGGCUGGUUGUCAGGAAGACCAAGCUGUGAUUAGAAUCUGGGAAUUCUCAGCCCCUCCCUCUCACCUCUGGGCAGGGAAGGGGCUGGGGAUUGACUUAAUGGUCAGUCAUGCCUAUGUAAUGAAGUUUGCAUAAAAAUCCCCAAAGGAUGGGGUUCACAUAGUUCCAGGUUGGCAAACACAUCCACGUCCCAGGAGGAUGGCACACCCACCUCCACGGGGACAGGACCCCCCCAGACCUCACGGUCGGGAUCACUUUGUCUGGUUCUUCCUCUGUAUCCUUUAUAACACCCUUUCUAAUAAAUUGGCGGUGUAAGUGAUUGUUUCCUGGAGUUCUGUGAGCCAUUCUAACACAUUAUCGAACCGCAGGAGGAACCUCAGUUUAGACGUGGUCCUUCAGAAGUAUAGGUGACAAACAGAACUCAAACCCCUUAAAUUCUGGGACCUGAAGUGCUCUCUCUAGGCCUGGAGUGUAAGUGACACAUGAUAUUUGUAUUUCUGUGUCUCACUUACUUAACAUGAUCAUCGCUAGGUCUGUCCAUGUUGCAGCAAAUGGCAUCAUUUCAUUCCUUUUUGUGGCUGCAUAGUAUUCCAUUGUAUACAUAUACCACAGCUUCUUUAUCCAAUCAUCUGUCAAUGGACAUUUACGUUGUUUCAUAGUUACAUGUUCAUUUAUAACAUGGAGUUCCUCACAGCGUCUAAUGCACACAUCUGGGACAAAGAUUCAGUUAAUAACACAUGUGGCAUGUUUACGACGGUGCUUAGAACAGCCUGUAUUCAAGUAUUAAUUCCACCAGGAGCCCCUGACUCAUCAUGAGACAAAAGCACCUACUCAGAUUUCUUCAAUUUGAAUUGUUUGCCAAUAUUUAAAAAUCAGGGUAUUUUAUAUAAAAUCUAGAUUUGUCAUUUCUUUUGGAAAAUCAGAAGCCCUGGCAACACUGGACUCAGAGUUCCCAUGGUAAUCAGUGAUAUGCUGGAGAUGAGUGGAGGCCAUCUCUUACAAGAAGGAUUUGCAACCUCUACAGUUUGCCACAGUCUCCGCCACUCCCUAUCGUGACUCCCUGCCAGCUUUAUGUUACACAUAAAUAAAACUCACACGCAGGAAACAAAAUCCAUUUUAGGAAACUCAUUUCACACACAGUCGUGCCCACACAGGAAUCAAGAGGAACUUUAGGUUUUUCCAAAACUUUCCUUCAAGGUCCCUGAAGGGGAAGCCAUGGCUGUUCUGUCAACCUUGCUGUAGCCUUCAGGUUGCCUGUCCCCCACCUGAGACUCCUGUCAGAAGGUGGGUGACUCUCCAGGAGACACCCCAGUCUCCCUGCCUGCCCGUGGAGCAGGUUUAAUCACGUAAGAGACCAGCCAGGUGUGUUUAGCUGAACUGCAGACCACAUCACAACAUUUACAUCAUAAAGGUACAGUUAGACUGUGGUAAACUGGAGUGUCCCUUAAGUCACAACCUGGCUUGACCGGAUAAUUUAGGUUCUGACGUUUUGCAUCCAUUAGAAACUUAAAUGAGCUCAAAAUUUAAUUAAUUGGGGGGCGGUGUCUUUUCUGCCAUUUUUACCCCAUAGGCCCUGAACACUUCUUACAGUACUGAGAAAGGCAGUGUCCGGGAGGGGAAGUUUCCCCUCUCCCCCUCAGCGUUCCUGUGGCUGGGCUAACAAUAAAGUCAACACAAGGCACAUGAACAGGAGAAAAAGAAGCAAAUUUUAAUUCGUACUCCAGGAGGUCUCAUAGAAAUGGGACCUAAGAAGUGGCCAAAAGAGGCAGCUUUUAUAUUUUUUGGAUAAAGAAAUGGUAAAUUUGUGAGGAACUGACAGGACAGAGGAGCUGAGGCUUUGGGUGCUUAAUUAGGGAAGAAUCUAAACGGAGUUUGGGUUUGGGGUGGUAAGUUACAGAAGUAGCAGGUUUGAUUAUACAGACUCUUGGCCCUGAACACCCUGUUUCUGGCAGUAAGGGUGUCCUGCCUCCUGAGAGAUUUAUGUCUUGCUCUCGGGGAGACAGGGAGGAGGGUCAGAGUGUCCCUCUGUGUCAGCUAUUCCUUAAGUAACUUUAAUUCAAAAUAACCAAUAUGCCACUGAGGCAUAUUUGAGGGCGGCCUGCCCUGGGCCCCGACAGCAGAGAGCACCCUUAUUUGAGACUCCUUAGUUCCUCUUCUACCAUUAUUAUCUCGGGAAAAAAGAUAAGUUGGGUGAGAAUGAAUCCAAACUCUCCACCAGCUGAAAAUUAGAAUUACUGGAAUAUGGUGUUCGAGUCCGUCUGUGGAGAGCUGAAGAAAUAAGUCCGAAAAGAGUCACAGAUCAAUGAACAGUUCCCAGAAGAGAAAAUCCAAAUGGCCAACCCACGUGAGAGGAUCUGUGCACCCUUUUCAAUAACCAGGGAAAUGCAUAUUAAAACAGCAACACGCUGUCUUUUCUCACGGAUCAGAUCAGCACAACUUUCCUGUAUCAAGUCUGAGCGAAGGUGGAGGAAACGAGCUCUCAUGCUGCUGGUGGAAGUGUAAAUUGCUUCAGCCAAUCCGGGGAGCUUUUUGGAUGAGAUGCCUGCAGGCCCUUGUUGGAAAUCGUUGAGACCAGAUGUGUUUCAGAACUUUUUGUUUCUGUUCAUUUGUUUGUGUGUUUUUUAGGUUUGAAAGGUAGAAGGUGUGGAAACCAUUUUUACUUCACCACUUCCAGUGAGCUCAGAAGCAGCGCUUUGAUUUCUCUGCAGUAGAAUGUGAAUAUUCACACGAAAAGGGCUGAUAUAGACCUUAAAUAGCCUCAACCCAUAGGUUAGUUUUCAGGGUCAAAGGGCGUUGUUGCAAACCUACGGGAAAAAGUGGUUUUAGAGGGUUCUGGGGGGGGUUUCGGAGUCAUGGGGAGGGAUCUUGGAUCUGUGCUGAGUAAACCUGUGUCUUCUGUGACCUAGCAGAUCACGUCUAAGUCCAUUCCUUAGAAUGCGGGACUUGAACUUUUCUGAGCACAAUCCCCAGUAAGAAACACAGUUCACCUGCAACCCAGCUCACAUGUAUUUGUAUGAGUGAAACAGGAGCUUCAUGAAACAGCGUCUGCCCUUCCCGCGGAGCGGGGUUGGGGGACGUCCUCUGAUGUCUUCUACUUCCUGUUUCUCUUUUUGAGUCUUUAACACGUACUGGGCACAAUUCUAAGCAUUCUUUCCAAUAUUUCAUUUUUUUUAAGUGGUUGGAUUACAACAAAAGACAAGUAACCCAAUUAAAAAAUGGGCAAAGGACCUGAAGAGUCGUUUUUGUGAAGAAGAUAUACAAAUGGCCAAUAAAGACAUGGGAAGAUGUCCAGCAUCGUCAGCCUCCAAGGAAAUGUGGAUGAAAACCACAGUACCACUGCACACCUCCUGGGUCGCUCACGUAAUGGACGGACAGGCAGCACCAAUGGCGGGGAGGAUGUCGGCGGUCCGCCCUGUUAGGUUUAGUGUUUGGAGCCUGUGAAUUAAACCAAGAAAGGGCAGAUUAGCAAGGAAAAGGACAGUUUUAUUCAUGUAUGUACAUGGGGUUCACAGAAAAAUGUGAACCUCUUAAUAGCUAAAGACUUAAUAGGGGAGACAAGGGGAAGAGCUUGUACAGGAAGAACAGCGGACGAGAAAUAAGAAGGUUGUGACCAUGUUUGUUUGAGCAGGUGCGAGGGGUCUGGUGCUCGGCCGUCUCCCUGUGGAACAGCGACCCACUGCAGGCGCGAGCUCUGAGCCUUCGGCGGGAAGCAGCGCCUGCUGGAACUUAAUGGCAUCCCUUCGUCUCAUCGUGUUUAUUUUACGGCUACUUCUAUUUCGGCAGCUGAUACUGGUUUUCUAUUUACAGAGGUGACAGAGUUUCCUUCUUAAAUACUUUGAUUUAAAGACAGACAGGAACUCGCAGUACAGGUGGGAGCCAGAUACUGUAAGGUUUUUCAGAGCCUUAGGAAAUGAGACGUGUGGAGGGCGCCAACAGAAGUCGUUUCCCCGCCGUGUUUAUUUAUCAGGUAGACAGAUCUGGGCUCCCUGCCACCCAGAGGGGCUCUGGGUCUGGGGCGGCACGGCCUGCUCAGGUCACGGCCCACUGUCUCCUUGAAUCUCAGACAAAGAGCUUGAUACCCAGAGAAGGGGGCACAGGAGGGUGGAAACAGAGCGCACAGGGAAGGCGGGCUCCGCUUCGACCCUGGGUCCCAGACACGGCCCCUUACCAGGAUGGCGGGCAACUGAAAAUGGGGGAGGGGGCGGGGUUAAGGACAACAUAAAGGGGAAAAUCUCAAGUGAGGAAAUGUCCUAUCUACCAUUUUGUUGCUUCCCAUGGGUGGUUCUCUGCUGGGGAAAUUUCCUUACUACCUUAAAUUAAGCACACCGGCGGCCAGCAAGCUGGGCCUACCCAGAUUACUUGUUAGCUCUGUUUCUGUGUUUCCUUUUUUGUUUGUGUAAUUAAACUUAUUUAAAUAUUUUUUUAA